GUUCAUCAGGUUAUGACCAACACCACCCUAUCUGCACCAGUCUUCUUGUUCAUCGGGUUUGGACCAACGCUACCCUAUCUGCACCAGUCUUGGUGUUCAUCAAGGUUUGGACCAACACCACCCUAUCUACACCAGUCUUGGUGUUCAUCAAGGUUUGGACCAACACCACCCUAUCUACACCAGUCUUGGUGUUCAUCGGGUUUGGACCAACGCCACCCUAUCUGCACCAGUCUUCUUGUUCAUCGGGUUUGGACCAAC
Molecule: long non-coding RNA, 258 nt
Organism: Oncorhynchus tshawytscha (Chinook salmon)
Lineage: Eukaryota; Metazoa; Chordata; Actinopteri; Salmoniformes; Salmonidae
Source: Ensembl